RNAcentral lists this ribosomal RNA (255 nucleotides) under uncultured bacterium. RNAcentral describes it as "partial 16S ribosomal RNA". It matches the Rfam family "Bacterial small subunit ribosomal RNA", at positions 334 to 606 of the family's 1533-position model. The record is from RNAcentral.
UUUUCCUACGGGGCGCAGCAGUGGGGAAUAUUGCACAAUGGGGGAAACCCUGAUGCAGCGACGCCGCGUGAGUGAAGAAGUAUUUCGGUAUGUAAAGCUCUAUCAGCAGGGAAGAAAAUGACGGUACCUGACUAAGAAGCCCCGGCUAACUACGUGCCAGCAGCCGCGGUAAUACGUAGGGGGCAAGCGUUAUCCGGAUUUACUGGGUGUAAAGGGAGCGUAGACGGCGGAACAAGUCAGAAGUGAAAACCCGGG